This 600-nucleotide long non-coding RNA is filed under the name Aquilegia coerulea. Its description in RNAcentral is "long non-coding RNA (ACOE_LNC000600)". Lineage: Eukaryota; Viridiplantae; Streptophyta; Magnoliopsida; Ranunculales; Ranunculaceae. The record is from RNAcentral.
AAGCCAAAACUUUUCUCACAGAUGCUGGUGGGUUAAAUGCAUUCUAUGGUCAUGAUCCAACCAAAGAUGAAGAUCAGAAAGCCUUUGUUAAGGACUUUGAGCCAAGGCCUAAUUUAUCUGUUUACCAUGCAUGAUGGUGAACUAAAAGACCAGAAGAAAGCCUUUGCUAGAGACUUGGUUAACGUGUCUGUUUACUAUGAUUAAACUAUUAAAAGCUUCGGAUGUAAUAAAGCAUGCACAAAUACAAAUGCUAGCUAGCUUUGGGUUUAAUUUAUUUUGUAUGUGUGUUUUUGUUAUAUGGUUUUUUCUUAUUUGUUGCCACUAAGGGCCCGUUCGGCAAAUAAGUAAAAGCAACUAAGGAAUUUCCGUCAAAGUAGCAGUGGAGAAAGGAGAAAGACGAAAGGAGAAAGUUACUAUAGAAAACUUAUGUGAAAAUUCAUUUUCUGACUUCUUAAAUUAUUUUCUAUUUUUUUCAUUUGCGUUUGCCGAACAUACUUUCUGCUUCUUUCCUUUUUAAAAGUUAAGAAAUGUAUUUCUAGGCCUUUGCCGAACGGGCCCUAAGUUGUGUACAUUUUAUUGAAUUUGAAUAAAUUGUGUUUG